GAUCAUUAUGGUACUACAGAGGCGUGAAGGUUGUCGCUGACCUUUCUGAAAGGUCGUGCACGCCGGAGCCGCUCUCAUACACAAUCCACCUCACCACUUGUGCUUCACCGCGCGGGGUCUCUCCCUCUUGGCUCGCUCCGAGAGGGGGAGGCUUGCGUCUUUUACACACACACACACAAUUAUACAGUCUGGUAGUUUAGAAUGUCAAUCAAUACAACUUUCAACAAUGGAUCUCUUGGCUCUCGCAUCGAUGAAGAACGCAGCGAAAUGCGAUACGUAAUGUGAAUUGCAGAAUUCAGUGAAUCAUCGAAUCUUUGAACGCACCUUGCACCCCUUGGUAUUCCGAGGGGUACACCCGUUUGAGUGUCGUGAAUUUCUCAAACCUUCUUGGUUUCCUGAUCAAGAAGGCUUUGGACUUUGGAGGUCUUUGCCGGCUUUGCGAAAAGUCGGCUCCUCUUAAAUGCAUUAGUGGGGUCCCCUUUGCCGAUCUCUAGGCGUUGAUAAUACGUUUCUACGUCUUGGGAUUUGCUCUGUUCCUUGGGAACCCGCUUCUAACCGUCUCACCGUCGGAGACAUCGUUCGAGCUUGCUCGACCCACGAACCUUGACCUCAAAUCGGGUGAGACUACCCGCUGAACUUAAGCAUAUCAAUAAGCGGAGGA
This 661-nucleotide small RNA is filed under the name Russula fuliginosa. Its description in RNAcentral is "eukaryotic LSU rRNA". The stretch from base 216 to 369 matches the Rfam family "5.8S ribosomal RNA". The record is from RNAcentral. Lineage: Eukaryota; Fungi; Basidiomycota; Agaricomycetes; Russulales; Russulaceae.